CUCUGCUCAGUGACAGUCGAUGUCCUCACACAGUGCACUAAGACACUGAACCUCCACUGAUGCCUCUAAUAGAGAAGCAUUGCAUUCAAAGCUUGUCUGUGAGAAGCAUUGGAUUGGAGGAGCAUUGUUAGCCACGCAUGUGCUUCUUGUCCCCAACACUUCCAUGUGGGAAGCACUGGAUUGGGCAAGAAGCCUGCAGGAAGAUGACACAGAUGGAGAAGGUGGUGGAUUUAAGGAAAGAGUAUCAAUGCUGGAAACAAGGUCAGUCUUUACACUUCUGGGCUCCCCUAAAUGAAAUAAACAGCUACUGGAACAUUGUAGCAUUAGAAAUACAUGUUUGCUAUUGUGUGCUCCCCCUCCCCCCCACUUUUAUAAAAACAUAAUGCACUCACGGUAGUAUCAGGGCCAAUUUAUUACAACCAGUGGUAGAACACUUCUUUUGUGACAGAGCCUUGCGGCAUGCUGCUCCCACACGGUUAGAAAAG
Pelobates cultripes (western spadefoot toad) is the source of this 485-nucleotide non-coding RNA. The record is from the annotation of a GenBank genome assembly. NCBI's taxonomy places the organism in Eukaryota, Metazoa, Chordata, Amphibia, Anura, Pelobatidae.